Molecule: ribosomal RNA, 444 nt
Filed under: Triticum aestivum (bread wheat)
Lineage: Eukaryota; Viridiplantae; Streptophyta; Magnoliopsida; Poales; Poaceae
Description: partial small subunit ribosomal RNA
Source: RNAcentral
AUGUUUAAGAUUAAUGUCGAUGCGGCUGUGCCACAGAGCCGGAGACGAGGAGUAGCAGUAGAAAUAUGCCGUGAUCAUGAGGGAAGCUUUCAAGGCGCAUCAGCGAUAGUGGUGAAGGGGGUGUUUGAUCCGCCGACUCUUGAAGCUCUUGUUGUCCGGGAAGCACCGGCACUUGCUGAGGAUCUCAACAUACAGAGAAUACAUGUUGCAUCAGACUGCAAGACUGUGAUAGAUGAUAUCAAACAGAAGAACCCGGCUAGCUACGGGGCGAUCUUACAUGAAAUAAUAGACCAAAGCUCUUCUUUCAGUAGUUGUAGUUUUGUUCAUGAGUUUAGGAGCUUGAAUUUCGAGGUUCACAAUCUAGCGAAGCAUGUUUUAAGUUUAGGGGUGGGCCGCCAUGUUUGGUUAAGACUUGGUAAUCUCUCGUUUGUACCUCUAAACUAG